UGGGGAAUUUUGGACAAUGGGCGAAAGCCUGAUCCAGCAAUGCCGCGUGUGUGAAGAAGGCCUUCGGGUUGUAAAGCACUUUUGUCCGGAAAGAAAUCCUUGGCUCUAAUACAGUCGGGGGAUGACGGUACCGGAAGAAUAAGCACCGGCUAACUACGUGCCAGCAGCCGCGGUAAUACGUAGGGUGCAAGCGUUAAUCGGAAUUACUGGGCGUAAAGCGUGCGCAGGCGGUUUGCUAAGACCGAUGUGAAAUCCCCGGGCUCAACCUGGGAACUGCAUUGGUGACUGGCAGGCUAGAGUAUGGCAGAGGGGGGUAGAAUUCCACGUGUAGCAGUGAAAUGCGUAGAGAUGUGGAGGAAUACCGAUGGCGAAGGCAGCCCCCUGGGCCAAUACUGACGCUCAUGCACGAAAGCGUGGGGAGCAAACAGGAUUAGAUACCCUGGUAGUCCACGCCCUAAACGAUGUCAACUAGGUUGUUGGGGAUUCAUUUCCUUAGUAACGUAGCUAACGCGUGAAGUUGACCGCCUGGGGAGUACGGUCGCAAGAUUAAAACUUAAAUGAAUUGACGGGGUCAUAGCUGUUUCCU
Molecule: ribosomal RNA, 586 nt
Filed under: uncultured bacterium
Lineage: Bacteria
Description: partial 16S ribosomal RNA
Rfam family: Bacterial small subunit ribosomal RNA
Source: RNAcentral